This 460-nucleotide ribosomal RNA is filed under the name uncultured bacterium. RNAcentral describes it as "partial 16S ribosomal RNA". It matches the Rfam family "Bacterial small subunit ribosomal RNA", at positions 338 to 795 of the family's 1533-position model. The record is from RNAcentral.
CCUACGGGGGGCUUCAGUGAGGAAUAUUGGUCAAUGGACGAGAGUCUGAACCAGCCAAGUAGCGUGAAGGAUGACUGCCCUAUGGGUUGUAAACUUCUUUUAUAUGGGAAUAAAACGUUCCACGUGUGGGAUUUUGUAUGUACCAUAUGAAUAAGGAUCGGCUAACUCCGUGCCAGCAGCCGCGGGAAUACGGAGGAUCCGAGCGUUAUCCGGAUUUAUUGGGUUUAAAGGGAGCGUAGGUGGAUUGUUAAGUCAGUUGUGAAAGUUUGCGGCUCAACCGUAAAAUUGCAGUUGAAACUGGCAGUCUUGAGUACAGUAGAGGUGGGCGGAAUUCGUGGUGUAGCGGUGAAAUGCUUAGAUAUCACGAAGAACUCCGAUUGCGAAGGCAGUUCACUGGACUGCAACUGACACUGAGGCUCGAAAGUGUGGGUAUCAAACAGGAUUAGAUACCCCAGUAGUC